UACGGAGGAUGCGAGCGUUAUCCGGAUUUAUUGGGUUUAAAGGGUGCGUAGGCGGACUGUCAAGUCAGCGGUAAAAUUGAGAGGCUCAACCUCUUCCCGCCGUUGAAACUGGUGGUCUUGAGUGGAUGAGAAGUACGCGGAAUGCGUGGUGUAGCGGUGAAAUGCACAGAUAUCACGCAGAACUCCGAUUGCGAAGGCAGCGCACCGGCGCCCUACUGACGCUCAGGCACGAAAGCGUGGGUAUCGAACAGG
This 252-nucleotide ribosomal RNA is filed under the name uncultured bacterium. RNAcentral's name for it is "partial 16S ribosomal RNA". It matches the Rfam family "Bacterial small subunit ribosomal RNA", at positions 524 to 776 of the family's 1533-position model. The record is from RNAcentral.